GGUUAAGCGACUAAGCGUACACGGUGGAUGCCCUGGCAGUCAGAGGCGAUGAAGGACGUGCUAAUCUGCGAUAAGCGUCGGUAAGGUGAUAUGAACCGUUAUAACCGGCGAUUUCCGAAUGGGGAAACCCAGUGUGAUUCGUCACACUAUCAUUAACUGAAUCCAUAGGUUAAUGAGGCGAACCGGGGGAACUGAAACAUCUAAGUACCCCGAGGAAAAGAAAUCAACCGAGAUUCCCCCAGUAGCGGCGAGCGAACGGGGAGCAGCCCAGAGCCUGAAUCAGUGUGUGUGUUAGUGGAAGCGUCUGGAAAGGCGCGCGAUACAGGGUGACAGCCCCGUACACAAAAAUGCACAUGCUGUGAGCUCGAUGAGUAGGGCGGGACACGUGGUAUCCUGUCUGAAUAUGGGGGGACCAUCCUCCAAGGCUAAAUACUCCUGACUGACCGAUAGUGAACCAGUACCGUGAGGGAAAGGCGAAAAGAACCCCGGCGAGGGGAGUGAAAAAGAACCUGAAACCGUGUACGUACAAGCAGUGGGAGCACGCUUAGGCGUGUGACUGCGUACCUUUUGUAUAAUGGGUCAGCGACUUAUAUUCUGUAGCAAGGUUAACCGAAUAGGGGAGCCGAAGGGAAACCGAGUCUUAACUGGGCGUUAAGUUGCAGGGUAUAGACCCGAAACCCGGUGAUCUAGCCAUGGGCAGGUUGAAGGUUGGGUAACACUAACUGGAGGACCGAACCGACUAAUGUUGAAAAAUUAGCGGAUGACUUGUGGCUGGGGGUGAAAGGCCAAUCAAACCGGGAGAUAGCUGGUUCUCCCCGAAAGCUAUUUAGGUAGCGCCUCGUGAAUUCAUCUCCGGGGGUAGAGCACUGUUUCGGCAAGGGGGUCAUCCCGACUUACCAACCCGAUGCAAACUGCGAAUACCGGAGAAUGUUAUCACGGGAGACACACGGCGGGUGCUAACGUCCGUCGUGAAGAGGGAAACAACCCAAACCGCCAGCUAAGGUCCCAAAGUCAUGGUUAAGUGGGAAACGAUGUGGGAAGGCCCAGACAGCCAGGAUGUUGGCUUAGAAGCAGCCAUCAUUUAAAGAAAGCGUAAUAGCUCACUGGUCGAGUCGGCCUGCGCGGAAGAUGUAACGGGGCUAAACCAUGCACCGAAGCUGCGGCAGCGACGCUGAUGCGUUGUUGGGUAGGGGAGCGUUCUGUAAGCCUGCGAAGGUGUGCUGUGAGGUAUGCUGGAGGUAUCAGAAGUGCGAAUGCUGACAUAAGUAACGAUAAAGCGGGUGAAAAGCCCGCUCGCCGGAAGACCAAGGGUUCCUGUCCAACGUUAAUCGGGGCAGGGUGAGUCGACCCCUAAGGCGAGGCCGAAAGGCGUAGUCGAUGGGAAACAGGUUAAUAUUCCUGUACUUGGUGUUACUGCGAAGGGGGGACGGAGAAGGCUAUGUUGGCCGGGCGACGGUUGUCCCGGUUUAAGCGUGUAGGCUGGUUUUCCAGGCAAAUCCGGAAAAUCAAGGCUGAGGCGUGAUGACGAGGCACUACGGUGCUGAAGCAACAAAUGCCCUGCUUCCAGGAAAAGCCUCUAAGCAUCAGGUAACAUCAAAUCGUACCCCAAACCGACACAGGUGGUCAGGUAGAGAAUACCAAGGCGCUUGAGAGAACUCGGGUGAAGGAACUAGGCAAAAUGGUGCCGUAACUUCGGGAGAAGGCACGCUGAUAUGUAGGUGAAGUCCCUCGCGGAUGGAGCUGAAAUCAGUCGAAGAUACCAGCUGGCUGCAACUGUUUAUUAAAAACACAGCACUGUGCAAACACGAAAGUGGACGUAUACGGUGUGACGCCUGCCCGGUGCCGGAAGGUUAAUUGAUGGGGUCAGCGCAAGCGAAGCUCUUGAUUGAAGCCCCGGUAAACGGCGGCCGUAACUAUAACGGUCCUAAGGUAGCGAAAUUCCUUGUCGGGUAAGUUCCGACCUGCACGAAUGGCGUAAUGAUGGCCAGGCUGUCUCCACCCGAGACUCAGUGAAAUUGAACUCGCUGUGAAGAUGCAGUGUACCCGCGGCAAGACGGAAAGACCCCGUGAACCUUUACUAUAGCUUGACACUGAACAUUGAGCCUUGAUGUGUAGGAUAGGUGGGAGGCUUUGAAGUGUGGACGCCAGUCUGCAUGGAGCCGACCUUGAAAUACCACCCUUUAAUGUUUGAUGUUCUAACGUGGACCCGUAAUCCGGGUUGCGGACAGUGUCUGGUGGGUAGUUUGACUGGGGCGGUCUCCUCCUAAAGAGUAACGGAGGAGCACGAAGGUUGGCUAAUCCUGGUCGGACAUCAGGAGGUUAGUGCAAUGGCAUAAGCCAGCUUGACUGCGAGCGUGACGGCGCGAGCAGGUGCGAAAGCAGGUCAUAGUGAUCCGGUGGUUCUGAAUGGAAGGGCCAUCGCUCAACGGAUAAAAGGUACUCCGGGGAUAACAGGCUGAUACCGCCCAAGAGUUCAUAUCGACGGCGGUGUUUGGCACCUCGAUGUCGGCUCAUCACAUCCUGGGGCUGAAGUAGGUCCCAAGGGUAUGGCUGUUCGCCAUUUAAAGUGGUACGCGAGCUGGGUUUAGAACGUCGUGAGACAGUUCGGUCCCUAUCUGCCGUGGGCGCUGGAGAAUUGAGGGGGGCUGCUCCUAGUACGAGAGGACCGGAGUGGACGCAUCACUGGUGUUCGGGUUGUCAUGCCAAUGGCACUGCCCGGUAGCUAAAUGCGGAAGAGAUAAGUGCUGAAAGCAUCUAAGCACGAAACUUGCCCCGAGAUGAGUUCUCCCUGACUCCUUGAGAGUCCUGAAGGAACGUUGAAGACGACGACGUUGAUAGGCCGGGUGUGUAAGCGCAGCGAUGCGUUGAGCUAACCGGUACUAAUGAACCGUGAGGCUUAACCUU
Molecule: ribosomal RNA, 2904 nt
Filed under: Escherichia coli
Lineage: Bacteria; Pseudomonadati; Pseudomonadota; Gammaproteobacteria; Enterobacterales; Enterobacteriaceae
Description: 23S ribosomal RNA
Rfam family: Bacterial large subunit ribosomal RNA
Source: RNAcentral